Molecule: ribosomal RNA, 463 nt
Filed under: uncultured bacterium
Lineage: Bacteria
Description: bacterial SSU rRNA
Rfam family: Bacterial small subunit ribosomal RNA
Source: RNAcentral
UACGGGAGGCAGCAGUGGGGAAUAUUGCACAAUGGGCGAAAGCCUGAUGCAGCUAUGCCGCGUGUAUGAAGAAGGCCUUAGGGUUGUAAAGUACUUUCAUCGGGGAGGAAAAAACAAAACUAAUAAUUUUAAUUUCUUGACGUUACCCGAAAAAGAAGCACCGGCUAACUCCGUGCCAGCAGCCGCGGUAAUACGGAGGGUGCUAGCGUUAAUCAGAAUUACUGGGCGUAAAGAGCACGUAGGUGGUUUUUUUUAAAGUCAGAUAUGAAAUCCCUGGGCUUAACCUAGGAACUGCAUUUUGAAACUGAAAUACUAGAGUAUCGUAGAGGGAGGUAGAAUUCUAGGUGUAGCGGUGAAAUGCGUAGAUAUCUGGAGGAAUACCUGUGGCGAAAGCGGCCUCCUAAACGAAUACUGACACUGAGGGUGCGAAAAGCGUGGGGAGCGAAAACAGGGAUUAGAUACC